Molecule: ribosomal RNA, 460 nt
Filed under: uncultured bacterium
Lineage: Bacteria
Description: partial 16S ribosomal RNA
Rfam family: Bacterial small subunit ribosomal RNA
Source: RNAcentral
CCUACGGGGGGCAGCAGUGAGGAAUAUUGGUCAAUGGACGAGAGUCUGAACCAGCCAAGUAGCGUGAAGGAUGACUGCCCUAUGGGUUGUAAACUUCUUUUAUAUGGGAAUAAAAUGUUCCACGUGUGGGAUUUUGUAUGUACCAUAUGAAUAAGGAUCGGCUAACUCCGUGCCAGCAGCCGCGGUAAUACGGAGGAUCCGAGUGUUAUCCGGAUUUAUUGGGUUUAAAGGGAGCGUAGGUGGAUUGUUAAGUCAGUUGUGAAAGUUUGCGGCUCAACCGUAAAAUUGCAGUUGAAACUGGCAGGCUGGAGUACAGUAGAGGUAGGCGGAAUUCGUAGUGUAGCGGUGAAAUGCGUAGAUAUCACGAAGAACUCCAGUGGCGAAGGCAGCUCACUGGACUGCAACUGACACUGAGGCUCGAAAGUGUGGGUAUCAAACAGGAUUAGAUACCCCGGUAGUC